CGCUGCAGCCUCGGCCCGCGCCCAGGGACAGCGAGCCCGGGGCUUGCCAGCGUCCGCACGGCCGCGGAGGCAGGCGCGGGGCCUUCACGCCCGCGGGACGGAGCUACAGGGGGAAGUUGUGACAGGAGGAUGGGGAGGCUGAGAGGAAAAGCAGUAUCCUUGAUAGGAGGCCAAAAGAACAGCUCACCCCAGGAAGAUAUUUGAGAACCACCAAGUUGCCACAUUGCCAGGUAGUGUCAUAGGAAAUACCUUACUGGAGAAGACCCACAGCCUUUUGAUCCCAGUAACCUGUUUCCAACAGUGGCGUCAGAGGUGGUGCAGGAAAGCUGCAGUAGACUUACGAAAGAGAAAACAACAAAAGAAAUUGGGAAAAUAGACCAUAAACUCUCCAUCAGAAUGAGGAACCUUUAAAAAAUUGCACUUUUAUUUCUCUCUUUCAGUAUAUCUUUGGUUUACUUUAUUUGAUACAGUAUUGUUGUUGGGUUUGUUAUACAAUACUGGAUUGUAUAAUACUGUCAUACAGUACUAUUGUUGUUUUGAAAGGAAAGAGCAAAACUAAAUUACUUGUGUAAUAGUGCAACGUGGCUGUCUCUGCUUGUCAGUCAGAAUUAAAUUCAGAAACUUCAGCUGUAUAAGCACAAACUGCUUCUCCAUAACCAGUAACUCCCUUG
This 671-nucleotide long non-coding RNA is filed under the name Crocodylus porosus (Australian saltwater crocodile). RNAcentral describes it as "lncRNA (ENSCPRG00005001553.1)". Lineage: Eukaryota; Metazoa; Chordata; Crocodylia; Crocodylidae. The record is from RNAcentral.